Molecule: ribosomal RNA, 429 nt
Filed under: Chloroflexota bacterium
Lineage: Bacteria; Bacillati; Chloroflexota
Description: Chloroflexi bacterium partial 16S ribosomal RNA
Rfam family: Bacterial small subunit ribosomal RNA
Source: RNAcentral
UGGGGAAUAUUGCACAAUGGGCGCAAGCCUGAUGCAGCCAUGCCGCGUGUAUGAAGAAGGCCUUCGGGUUGUAAAGUACUUUCAGCGGGGAGGAAGGGAGUAAAGUUAAUACCUUUGCUCAUUGACGUUACCCGCAGAAGAAGCACCGGCUAACUCCGUGCCAGCAGCCGCGGUAAUACGGAGGGUGCAAGCGUUAAUCGGAAUUACUGGGCGUAAAGCGCACGCAGGCGGUUUGUUAAGUCAGAUGUGAAAUCCCCGGGCUCAACCUGGGAACUGCAUCUGAUACUGGCAAGCUUGAGUCUCGUAGAGGGGGGUAGAAAUCCAGGUGUAGCGGUGAAAUGCGUAGAGAUCUGGAGGAAUACCGGUGGCGAAGGCGGCCCCCUGGACGAAGACUGACGCUCAGGUGCGAAAGCGUGGGGAGCAAACAGG